This is a long non-coding RNA of Columba livia (rock pigeon), 2036 nucleotides long. RefSeq lists it as uncharacterized. NCBI's taxonomy places the organism in Eukaryota, Metazoa, Chordata, Aves, Columbiformes, Columbidae. The transcript has 2 exons. The record is from RefSeq and is a predicted model, not a curated record.
CCACAUGGCGCCCAGCGGCGGUGGCUGGGGACCACCGCAGGCCGCGGUCGCCCGUCGCGAUCCUCUCGGCUCAGCUCCGCUCCGGCGCCUGCGCGUUGCGCUCCCUACGGGCACGCCGGGAAGGGGCAGGCAGCCCCGGCCCCGCCCUGACCGGGAAGCCGCGCAGUGCGGGGGCAGGCUGCGGCGCUGGGGGUGACUGCCGUGCCGAUACGGUGUCAAACCGGUCAGUCACAAGCGCCUGAAGAAGCCUCAUCAUCCUGUUUGUCACGUUGGGACCUCUCUCUAUUCUAAUUUCUAAAAAAAAAAACAAAAACACCCACGAAGUGUUCAUCCUGUGGAGUCUUUCAGAAACAAUACUUUGAGCUUCUGUCUGCACAGGAAUCCUAAUUUAUGCUGAGAGAUUUUAUUCUUUCAUGCAAUAAACCUAAAGUUAUAUGCACUUCAAAAAAGUUGAAGGAAGUGCCUCCAAAAAAGACAGAGAUUGCAGCUUUUUUCACCUUCCUGUUUCUGUGUCUCCCACCCAGCGUCCCAAUGGCAGAUAAUUCUGCACCUUAACCAUUCAAUCUCAAGGCCACCCUGGGCCAGAUGAGGACACAAAGGGCACAGAAGAAACCUUCUGCUACACCUCAGCUGUAAGGAGGAUAUAGCAGCUUUUUAAGCUACUGACAGAGAUUCUGCAGAGAACCCUUUUUCCAGACCUGAAUUAAGAGGCAGCUUGAGCAAUCCUUAACACCCACAAUUCUUCCCAGCCUUUCAAAGAGACAGGAAAGAGGAAACAAAGCUGCUGGUCAGAGUCAUUACACUUCAUCUUUAUCAUGACUCUAUUGGGAAAUGUUAACUUCAGCUGCUCCCUUACCUCUAUUUUCUAUCCCAGACUUUGGCCCAUUUCUUGGAGAAAAGUGUGGAGGAUUUGCCUUUUUUUGCCAUUUGCCAUCUGCAGAGCAGGGGAGACAGCAGGACUGGCUGUGUGGGAGGGAAUGAGUAGUGAGGAGAGGGGAGAUUGUAAGCCAGCCCCCCUGCUGAAGAAAAGGCCCCACUGGUACAGCUUCAGAAAUGGUGAUGUUCCCAUAAGGUGAUGGGGUGGUGCUGUGAAGGGUAGGGUCCAUGUGGGUUAGAAAGCCAGCAUCUCCUCACAGCUGCCCUAAGGCUGAAGAAAUUGGACUGUGAAACAUUAUGUAGUAACAUUAUGCUCACUGACUGAUCUUUGUGCUUAAUGAAUGAUGAGCUUCAUAACCAACAAAUGCUGUCUUGAUUGAAAGACUGGCUGCUCACUGGCACGUUGCUGAAUGGUUGCAUGCUUGCAUGAUUUUUUCUAAUGCAUAAUACAUUUUCUAGCACGUAACAAUAGGAAGAGAGGAAAUGGCCUCAAGCUCUGCCAGAGGAGGUUUAGAUUCGGUAUAAGGAAAAAUUUCUUCACCAAAAGGGUUGCCAAGCACUAGAACCAGGAAGUGGUUGGUUGAGUCAUCAUCCCUGGAGGUAUUUAAAAGAUGUGCUGAUGUGGCACUUAGAGACAUGGUUUAGUGGUGGACUUGGCAGUGUUACUUUAGCAGUUGGACUUGAUGAUCUCAGGGGUCUUUUCCAACCUAAAUGAUCCUAUGAUUGAAAUGUUAUUUUACACAAAAGUGAGAACAAGGAAUCAGCAGCCCUGGGUAGAAGUCAGGUAUUCUGACAGUCACAUCAAGAGCUGACAGUGUGCCCAAAGUAGGUGUGUCACACCACCAGAGCUCAGUAAGGUUACGUUUUCUUAUGGCAAUACUGCACAGACUUGACAGAACCUUAUGAACAGUGACGACAAUGAACAAAAAUUACAUCCGCUCUGUACAGAGAAAUUAAAGAAAUGUAAUUCUGGUUGUGGCAGUUUUCCCUGCACAUCUUCUGCCUGUGCCACCAGAACCCCCGAACGCAGAUCCUGGCCAGGGCUGCUCUCCCUUUGAUGCCAGUGGAGUCCAUCCCCACCCGAACUUGCUAAAAUUUUUCCUUGUCUUGAAAUGUUAAACACUGGAAAAGAGAAAAAAGAAUGGCCAUUAUCAUGUAAA